UUUGAUGUUUUGGAAACUAUAGACCUUGAACGUCUANAAAGAUGUUCGAAUCA
This 53-nucleotide transfer RNA is filed under the name Zophoscolex hongae. RNAcentral's name for it is "partial tRNA-Ser". The record is from RNAcentral. Lineage: Eukaryota; Metazoa; Annelida; Clitellata; Crassiclitellata; Lumbricidae.